RNAcentral lists this small nucleolar RNA (157 nucleotides) under Notamacropus eugenii (tammar wallaby). RNAcentral describes it as "Small nucleolar RNA ACA59 (ENSMEUG00000017928.1)". The record is from RNAcentral. Lineage: Eukaryota; Metazoa; Chordata; Mammalia; Diprotodontia; Macropodidae.
ACCUAGAGUGAGGAAGAUUUGAGUUCAAAUCCAGCCUUAGACAGGCACUGGCUGCAUGUGACCCUGGGCAAUUUACUUAACCUUUGGUUGCCUCAGUUUCCUCAUCUGUAAAAUGGGGAUAAUAGCACUUAACUCUUGGUUGUUAUGAGGAUAAAAU